Molecule: long non-coding RNA, 249 nt
Organism: Hipposideros armiger (great roundleaf bat)
Lineage: Eukaryota; Metazoa; Chordata; Mammalia; Chiroptera; Hipposideridae
Exons: 3
Source: RefSeq, a predicted model, not a curated record
CACACUGGCUAAACCAGACGUUUAAUCUCUCUCUGCCCUUGUUUCCUGUAACCUGAGCUUGGAGACACACAGCUUCUGUGUUUUGAAAUGCCUGAUACCCCUCGGGAUGAAGCAGCUGCGUCUCAGAGAACUGCUACAGAAAAACUCCACUUUUCAAGGAGUAAAGAGAUCAUAUGCAUCAAUACCAAGAUGCGGGACACUUUUAUACAAGCAAAUGCUUAUUUCUUCCCUGGGCAGACUUCUCUACUU